RNAcentral lists this ribosomal RNA (415 nucleotides) under uncultured Actinomycetales bacterium. Its description in RNAcentral is "bacterial SSU rRNA". It matches the Rfam family "Bacterial small subunit ribosomal RNA", at positions 356 to 774 of the family's 1533-position model. Lineage: Bacteria; Bacillati; Actinomycetota; Actinomycetes; Actinomycetales. The record is from RNAcentral.
GGGGAAUAUUGGACAAUGGGCGGAAGCCUGAUCCAGCAACGCCGCGUGAGGGAUGACGGCCUUCGGGUUGUAAACCUCUUUCAGUACCGACGAAGCGCCGAUGAUGGUGGUGACGGUAGGUACAGAAGAAGCACCGGCCAACUACGUGCCAGCAGCCGCGGUAAUACGUAGGGUGCGAGCGUUGUCCGGAAUUAUUGGGCGUAAAGGGCUCGUAGGCGGUUUGUCGCGUCUGCUGUGAAAACUCGAGGCUCAACGUCGGGCUUGCAGUGGGUACGGGCUGACUAGAGUGCGGUAGGGGUGACUGGAAUUCCUGGUGUAGCGGUGGAAUGCGCAGAUAUCAGGAGGAACACCGAUGGCGAAGGCAGGUCACUGGGCCGCAACUGACGCUGAGGAGCGAAAGCAUGGGGAGCGAACA